Molecule: transfer RNA, 84 nt
Filed under: Izhakiella capsodis
Lineage: Bacteria; Pseudomonadati; Pseudomonadota; Gammaproteobacteria; Enterobacterales; Erwiniaceae
Also listed under: 1 other name
Rfam family: tRNA
About the family: Transfer RNA (tRNA) molecules are approximately 80 nucleotides in length. Their secondary structure includes four short double-helical elements and three loops (D, anti-codon, and T loops). Further hydrogen bonds mediate the characteristic L-shaped molecular structure. tRNAs have two regions of fundamental functional importance: the anti-codon, which is responsible for specific mRNA codon recognition, and the 3' end, to which the tRNAs corresponding amino acid is attached (by aminoacyl-tRNA synthetases). tRNAs cope with the degeneracy of the genetic code in two manners: having more than one tRNA (with a specific anti-codon) for a particular amino acid; and 'wobble' base-pairing, i.e. permitting non-standard base-pairing at the 3rd anti-codon position.
Source: Rfam by way of RNAcentral
GCCCGGGUGGUGAAAUCGGUAGACACAAGGGAUUUAAAAUCCCUCGGCCAUUAGGCUGUGCGGGUUCAAGUCCCGCCCCGGGCA